CUACGGGUGGCAGCAGUGGGGAAUAUUGGACAAUGGGCGAAAGCCUGAUCCAGCCAUGCCGCGUGUGUGAAGAAGGCCUUCGGGUUGUAAAGCACUUUCAGUGGGGAAGAAAGCCUUGGGGCUAAUACCCUCGAGGAAGGACAUCACCCACAGAAGAAGCACCGGCUAACUCCGUGCCAGCAGCCGCGGUAAUACGGAGGGUGCGAGCGUUAAUCGGAAUUACUGGGCGUAAAGCGCGCGUAGGCGGUCUGAUAAGCCGGUUGUGAAAGCCCCGGGCUCAACCUGGGAACGGCAUCCGGAACGGUCAGGCUAGAGUGCAGGAGAGGAAGGUAGAAUUCCCGGUGUAGCGGUGAAAUGCGUAGAGAUCGGGAGGAAUACCAGUGGCGAAGGCGGCCUUCUGGACUGACACUGACGCUGAGGUGCGAAAGCGUGGGUAGCAAACAGGAUUAGAUACCCCAGUAGUC
RNAcentral lists this ribosomal RNA (464 nucleotides) under Vreelandella stevensii. RNAcentral's name for it is "partial 16S ribosomal RNA". It matches the Rfam family "Bacterial small subunit ribosomal RNA", at positions 339 to 795 of the family's 1533-position model. The record is from RNAcentral. Lineage: Bacteria; Pseudomonadati; Pseudomonadota; Gammaproteobacteria; Oceanospirillales; Halomonadaceae.